CUCUGACCAUCCACCCCAGGUGCAUUGCUUUUCAUACUCUAGAGUCUAGGAUUAGGGGCUCACCCACAAAAAUAGCUUCCAUGGAAUGGUCAGCCUAGCAGGAGCUGGGGGUUCUCCAUCAAGUGAAGAUGGGGACUAUGAGAUCUUACGGCAUCUCAAAGGGCAGAAGUCUGGACAGGAAGACCAGUUGCAUAGUGGAGGGAAGUAUCCUAACCUGGAUUAAAUAUAUGCUGAAUUCCUCUGUUUAUCCUAAAAGCUAAAUCCCUGAUAUAAACUUGCUUUUUCAUGUUUUUAUGAUUUAGCUUUAUUUUAGGGAUUUAACUUUAUUUUAACCAUGGGUUACUGAGAAUUUUUGUUAAAGUUUAAUGGCAUUGUGUACUCCUAUUCACUCUUCAGAAUCUCAGUUCAAUAUCACUUCCUCCAUGAAGCCUUCCUGAUUACUUUUUCCUUUCUUCCCUCAGGCCCUCCCAGUUAUUUCCCUCUCUAAGGAGCAUACUAUGUUUAAAUAAUUUGUUAACAUGAGCUACAGGGGGCAGGUGGUUGAGGGAGGGCUUUCUCUGUGAGUCUGCUUAUUAAGAAGCUGAGCUCCCAGUCCUUGCCUUGUGAUAAUAAUCAAGCCCCAUUACUUGAGAGCUCGCAGAGGGCAGAAAACAAGGGCUGCUUCACUGUUACAUGCACAGGCCAUGGCCUGAAACAAGGAAGGGAAGGAGGGAGAAAACAACGGGAGGACAAAUUCUAUAAACAGGUCAGAGGAGAGGGAGAGACAUUAUUUAUCAGCUUGGUGAUUUCAACUUAAUUCUGAGAAGACUUAAUCCAUGUCUGUUUCCCUCUGGUCUGUAAAACAAAAUGCCUCCUACAAUGUUUCUGAGUUGUUUCACAACUCAGGAAGACGAUAUUUCUCUUUGCCAUAAGACAAUACAUUUCCUAAACGUACUGUAGUGGGUAAGGGUAGGGUGGGAGUUUAAAAAAGAAAAUCAGUCAGCAGCUAUGAAGAGCCAAAAGGACACAGUGUCAGAUCUGUGGAAAUUGAACCUAAGGAUAGAUCUGAGACCAACAAGAGUUAAAUGGUCAACUCCACUCAACAUUUGCUGAGUCUCUAUUCUGUGGGCCCUAAUAGAAAGUCACCAAAACAGUUCUUGAGGGGUCAGGACCUAUUGCUGAGAGUGGCAAGUCAGGAGUAAAGCAAAAAGAGGGCAGGACUGGCCUCAUGUCCAGUUGCACAGCCCUGGUUGUGCCAUGUCUCUGGGCUGGGAGACAGCUGCCUGGCCACUGGCCCUUGGGCCAUUAAAAACACAGGGCCACAGAAGGAGCAGGCAGGGCUCAUAUCUGGGGGAUUAGCUCCAUCUGCCCUGAGUGCAGUGGAAACCGUGCAUCCUUCCUCUUCCCUGGGCCUCAUCCUGGUGCCUGCCCCCAGCAGUCCCUGGCAGCCUCAUGUCCACCUGGCCAUGAUGUCAGGUCUAUUUAAGCCAGGGACCUGGUGAUCCUUUCCACAGCCCACUGGGAAGGCCUAUGUGUUGCUGAAAAACAAAUAAACCAACAGCUCUCUGUCACCAUGGGUUCUACAGACCUGGGGAUACACGGCAAAGGCCUGUCGUGGAGGUUGUAACUCUUUGUCCUUUAGGAUUCCCAAGGUAGACCACGUGUGUGCCAGCCCAGCAGGCAAACUGCCCCGUAUGAGUUUGUCCAUCAACUGUGCGUGCAGAUCUUUACUCGCAUGCAUGACACAGGAAGCCCACGGGACACUUCCCCAGCACGCCCCGCUUCCUCUGCACUCCUGGAAGGAAGACCUGUUCUUGCUUCUUCCGUACUCUCAGGAUCUGGCACAGAACCCGACAAAGGAAAUAUUUAAUGAACUAUGGCGUAGGCCUGGCCCUGAACGACACCCUGGGGACCCAGCAGCAGCAAGGUGCAGCUUCUGCCCUCAGCAACCUCACGGUCUAAUGGACGCGGCACAGUGGGCAGGAAGUGACACCAAAGAGCAUCAGGAUUAGGAAGUCUGUUCGGAUUAGCAUGGAAUCAGAGUCUCCCUGCCCUGGGAAUCAUUGCUGGCCAUGGCAGUUGCUGAGACUGGGAGCUAAAAGGUGCAUCUGAGUUGGAGUCUUGUCAUGUUCCUUCAGACUCUCUGGAGCAGCCCAGCUUCCCAGAACUGAGAUCACUAAACCAAGAAGAGGAGGCACCUUGGACCUGGGUAAAGGCUCCUUUCCAAGCUACUGCACAAAGAGGCCCAGGAGAAAUCAAAAGAUCAUGGACUGUUUUUGCUAUUGCAUGUGUUCCACCUUCAGUAUGGACUGUUGCCCUCCUUGCAGAUGUCGAGAUGGAACCUCACCAGGGCUUCCUUCUGAAAUGAAACUUCCAGAAAGCAGCAGACAGACCACAGAACAUCCUUCCUAGAAAAAGAAAAGCCGUCUGUAGACCAGCAACAGCUCUGAUCACAUGACUGCAAGCAAGGUUUCCAAAGAAAUCAAAAUGAUAGCUUGAAGAAUGAGCAUUGACAAUUUCUUUGUAGAAAGAUUCAAAUUCACAAUGUGAUCAAUUAAAAGGAAUCCUAGCUUACAUUUUUUUCUCAAAAAAUAUUCACAAAUACUGUCUUAUUUGAUUCUCAUGUUAACCUGUGGAUAUAGGCGGUGAAUAUGAGCCGUGAAGACAUUAUUCUCCAAUUUAUAAUUGAGAGAAGGGAGGGAGGGCAUCAGUGACUUGCAUCUCAGGGUACAUGAGAGUGAGUGAUUGAGACAGACUCAGGUCUUUUGGUUACUCCUAGUACAGUGCUCUCUCCACCUCAUCCUGCCUUUACAAACUGGAGGCAGGUUAAGUAGCAAUUCAUUUAUUUUUCUUUCAGAAAGAAACAUAGCUUUAAAAGAAUGAGGAUCAAAAGUUGUAUAAAUAGAUGAGGCUGGUGCAGUGGCUCAUACCUGUAAUCCCAGCAUUUUGGGAGGCUGAGGCAGGUGGAUCACCUGAGAUCAGGAGUUCGAGACCAGCCUGGCCAACAUGGCCAAACCCUAUCUCUAUUAAAAAUACAAAAAAAUUAGCUGGAUAUAAUGGCAGACACCUGUAAUCCCAGCUACUCGGUAGGCUGAGGCAGAGAGAAUUACUUGAACCCAGGAAGUGGAGGUUGCAGUGAGCUGAGAUGGCGCCACUGCACUCCAGCCUGGGCAACAGAGCAAGAUUCUGUCUCAAAGAAAAAAAAAUUGUAUAAAUAAAUGUAAAAAAUUCAAGUAUUUUCAUUCUAUUUUAUAAUACAGUCAAGGUGUUUUUUCUUUUUUUUUAAAGGUAGAAAAACUGAGGGGCAGAGGUAAGUAGAGACAAAGGAACAGAAAAAGACAUGCUGUAGUGCCAUACAGGCCCAAGGCUCACAGGGAGUAACAGCCCCAUAGUGUGGCUUUUUUAGGAUACAAAAGUGUGGUCAUGUUUUUACAACUGUACGCAGAAAUAUGGGCAGUACUUCUGUGACCUGGUGACACUGAGGAUAAAAUUUGAGCCAGGAGCCAGAGGUCCCGUAGUACUGGCCUGAAACCAGGGAGAUAAUUCUUUGUGAUGCUAUAAUGUUUUAACUUCUAGAAUGAGCCUAUUGCCCUGGCUUUAGUUCUUUCUUUAUAAUAAGGUGCAAUAAUGACUAUGGAGAGCAUAGAACAUGAAGAGCAAGGGAAAGCCUGCAGAAGGAAACCGGUCACAGCCCUCUAACGGGUGCUCAGCCUCCCUGCCCAUCAGAAUCGCCAGGGAAGCUUUAAACAUGCAAUUCCCAAGCCCACCCCAAACAAUGGAGUCAGAAUCCUGGGAGUGGGACCCAGGCAUCAGUACUUAACGCUCCUGGGGUGCGUCUAGGAUGCAGUCAAGGUUAAGUACCUUCUUUAAGAGAUUUGUCCAAAAAGGCUGACUGAGGAAAGGAAGAAGCACUGAAAUGGGAAAAUUCGGACGUGAGAUUGAGGGUAGCCAAACAAAACCUUCCCCUGGAAAACAGAUUGAGGACAAAAGAUGCAGGGACUCACGAGGACAGAACGCUGGGCACGCAGUGGUUGAAGAUGGUCUCUCUUUGACUGACUUUCCAUGGGUGAAGAUAAAGGAGAGAAUUGAGGGACUUCCCUGGAAAGUUUAGUGUAAGAACAUCUUCUGCCUUUUUGUAUUUAAUUAAUCUUUCUUCUAAAUAAAACAUUUUG
This 4151-nucleotide long non-coding RNA is filed under the name Homo sapiens (human). RNAcentral describes it as "HSALNT0090176". The record is from RNAcentral. Lineage: Eukaryota; Metazoa; Chordata; Mammalia; Primates; Hominidae.